RNAcentral lists this ribosomal RNA (1985 nucleotides) under Citrobacter werkmanii. RNAcentral describes it as "23S ribosomal RNA". It matches the Rfam family "Bacterial large subunit ribosomal RNA", at positions 399 to 2368 of the family's 2925-position model. Lineage: Bacteria; Pseudomonadati; Pseudomonadota; Gammaproteobacteria; Enterobacterales; Enterobacteriaceae. The record is from RNAcentral.
GUGAACUCGAAGAGUAGGGCGGGACACGUGGUAUCCUGUCUGAAUAUGGGGGGACCAUCCUCCAAGGCUAAAUACUCCUGACUGACCGAUAGUGAACCAGUACCGUGAGGGAAAGGCGAAAAGAACCCCGGCGAGGGGAGUGAAAAAGAACCUGAAACCGUGUACGUACAAGCAGUGGGAGCACCUUCGGGUGUGACUGCGUACCUUUUGUAUAAUGGGUCAGCGACUUAUAUUCUGUAGCAAGGUUAACCGUAUAGGGGAGCCGAAGGGAAACCGAGUCUUAACUGGGCGUUAAGUUGCAGGGUAUAGACCCGAAACCCGGUGAUCUAGCCAUGGGCAGGUUGAAGGUUGGGUAACACUAACUGGAGGACCGAACCGACUAAUGUUGAAAAAUUAGCGGAUGACUUGUGGCUGGGGGUGAAAGGCCAAUCAAACCGGGAGAUAGCUGGUUCUCCCCGAAAGCUAUUUAGGUAGCGCCUCGUGAAUUCAUCUUCGGGGGUAGAGCACUGUUUCGGCUAGGGGGUCAUCCCGACUUACCAACCCGAUGCAAACUGCGAAUACCGAAGAAUGUUAUCACGGGAGACACACGGCGGGUGCUAACGUCCGUCGUGAAGAGGGAAACAACCCAGACCGCCAGCUAAGGUCCCAAAGUCAUGGUUAAGUGGGAAACGAUGUGGGAAGGCACAGACAGCCAGGAUGUUGGCUUAGAAGCAGCCAUCAUUUAAAGAAAGCGUAAUAGCUCACUGGUCGAGUCGGCCUGCGCGGAAGAUGUAACGGGGCUAAACCAUGCACCGAAGCUGCGGCAGCGACACUAUGUGUUGUUGGGUAGGGGAGCGUUCUGUAAGCCGUUGAAGGUGGCCUGUGAGGGUUGCUGGAGGUAUCAGAAGUGCGAAUGCUGACAUAAGUAACGAUAAUGCGGGUGAAAAACCCGCACGCCGGAAGACCAAGGGUUCCUGUCCAACGUUAAUCGGGGCAGGGUGAGUCGACCCCUAAGGCGAGGCCGAAAGGCGUAGUCGAUGGGAAACAGGUUAAUAUUCCUGUACUUGGUGUUACUGCGAAGGGGGGACGGAGAAGGCUAUGUUGGCCGGGCGACGGUUGUCCCGGUUUAAGCAUGUAGGCGGAGGUUCCAGGUAAAUCCGGUACCUUUUAACGCUGAGGUGUGAUGACGAGGCACUACGGUGCUGAAGUGACAAAUGCCCUGCUUCCAGGAAAAGCCUCUAAGCAUCAGGUAACACGAAAUCGUACCCCAAACCGACACAGGUGGUCAGGUAGAGAAUACCAAGGCGCUUGAGAGAACUCGGGUGAAGGAACUAGGCAAAAUGGUGCCGUAACUUCGGGAGAAGGCACGCUGAUAGGUAGGUGAAGUGAUUUACUCAUGGAGCUGAAAUCAGUCGAAGAUACCAGCUGGCUGCAACUGUUUAUUAAAAACACAGCACUGUGCAAACACGAAAGUGGACGUAUACGGUGUGACGCCUGCCCGGUGCCGGAAGGUUAAUUGAUGGGGUUAUCCGUAAGGAGAAGCUCUUGAUCGAAGCCCCGGUAAACGGCGGCCGUAACUAUAACGGUCCUAAGGUAGCGAAAUUCCUUGUCGGGUAAGUUCCGACCUGCACGAAUGGCGUAAUGAUGGCCAGGCUGUCUCCACCCGAGACUCAGUGAAAUUGAACUCGCUGUGAAGAUGCAGUGUACCCGCGGCAAGACGGAAAGACCCCGUGAACCUUUACUAUAGCUUGACACUGAACACUGGUCCUUGAUGUGUAGGAUAGGUGGGAGGCUUUGAAGUGUGGACGCCAGUCUGCAUGGAGCCAUCCUUGAAAUACCACCCUUUAAUGGCUGGUGUUCUAACGUGGGCCCGUAAUCCGGGUUGCGGACAGUGUCUGGUGGGUAGUUUGACUGGGGCGGUCUCCUCCCAAAGAGUAACGGAGGAGCACGAAGGUUAGCUAAUCCUGGUCGGACAUCAGGAGGUUAGUGCAAAGGCAUAAGCUAGC